Molecule: ribosomal RNA, 301 nt
Filed under: uncultured bacterium
Lineage: Bacteria
Description: partial 16S ribosomal RNA
Rfam family: Bacterial small subunit ribosomal RNA
Source: RNAcentral
CAGUAGCCGCGGUAAAACGAAGGGUGCAAGCGUUAAUCGGAAUUACUGGGCGUAAAGCGUGCGUAGGCGGUGAGUUAAGUCUGCUGUGAAAUCCCCGGGCUCAACCUGGGAAUGGCAGUGGAUACUGGCUCGCUAGAGUGUGUCAGAGGAUGGUGGAAUUCCCGAUGUAGCGGUGAAAUGCGUAGAGAUCGGGAGGAACAUCAGUGGCGAAGGCGGCCAUCUGGGACAACACUGACGCUGAGGCACGAAAGCGUGGGGAGCAAACAGGAUUAGAUACCCCAGUAGUCCCUGUCUCUUAUAC